Molecule: ribosomal RNA, 935 nt
Filed under: uncultured bacterium
Lineage: Bacteria
Description: bacterial SSU rRNA
Rfam family: Bacterial small subunit ribosomal RNA
Source: RNAcentral
ACACAUGCAAGUCGAGGGGAAACGACAUCGAAAGCUUGCUUUUGAUGGGCGUCGACCGGCGCACGGGUGAGUAACGCGUAUCCAACCUGCCCACCACUUGGGGAUAACCUUGCGAAAGUAAGACUAAUACCCAAUGACGUCUCUAGAAGACAUCUGAAAGAGAUUAAAGAUUUAUCGGUGAUGGAUGGGGAUGCGUCUGAUUAGCUUGUUGGCGGGGUAACGGCCCACCAAGGCAACGAUCAGUAGGGGUUCUGAGAGGAAGGUCCCCCACAUUGGAACUGAGACACGGUCCAAACUCCUACGGGAGGCAGCAGUGAGGAAUAUUGGUCAAUGGACGAGAGUCUGAACCAGCCAAGUAGCGUGCAGGAUGACGGCCCUAUGGGUUGUAAACUGCUUUUAUAAGGGAAUAAAGUGAGUCUCGUGAGACUUUUUGCAUGUACCUUAUGAAUAAGGACCGGCUAAUUCCGUGCCAGCAGCCGCGGUAAUACGGAAGGUCCGGGCGUUAUCCGGAUUUAUUGGGUUUAAAGGGAGCGUAGGCCGGAGAUUAAGCGUGUUGUGAAAUGUAGACGCUCAACGUCUGCACUGCAGCGCGAACUGGUUUCCUUGAGUACGCACAAAGUGGGCGGAAUUCGUGGUGUAGCGGUGAAAUGCUUAGAUAUCACGAAGAACUCCGAUUGCGAAGGCAGCUCACUGGAGCGCAACUGACGCUGAAGCUCGAAAGUGCGGGUAUCGAACAGGAUUAGAUACCCUGGUAGUCCGCACGGUAAACGAUGGAUGCCCGCUGUUGGUCUGAAUAGGUCAGCGGCCAAGCGAAAGCAUUAAGCAUCCCACCUGGGGAGUACGCCGGCAACGGUGAAACUCAAAGGAAUUGACGGGGGCCCGCACAAGCGGAGGAACAUGUGGUUUAAUUCGAUGAUACGCGAGGAACCUUACCC